GACGAACGCUGGCGGCGUGCUUAACACAUGCAAGUCGAACGGUAAGGCCCCUUCGGGGGUACACGAGUGGCGAACGGGUGAGUAACACGUGGGUAAUCUGCCCUGCACUUCGGGAUAAGCCUGGGAAACUGGGUCUAAUACCGGAUAUGAACUCCUGCCGCAUGGUGGGGGUUGGAAAGUUUUUCGGUGCAGGAUGAGCCCGCGGCCUAUCAGCUUGUUGGUGGGGUAAUGGCCUACCAAGGCGACGACGGGUAGCCGGCUGAGAGGUGAUCGGCCACACUGGGACUGAGACACGGCCCAGACUCCUACGGGAGGCAGCAGUGGGGAAGUAUUGCACAAUGGGCGAAAGCCUGAUGCAGCGACGCCGC
This 368-nucleotide ribosomal RNA is filed under the name uncultured bacterium. RNAcentral's name for it is "bacterial SSU rRNA". It matches the Rfam family "Bacterial small subunit ribosomal RNA", at positions 28 to 400 of the family's 1533-position model. The record is from RNAcentral.